This 5407-nucleotide long non-coding RNA is filed under the name Homo sapiens (human). RNAcentral describes it as "non-protein coding LCMT1-AS1:18". The record is from RNAcentral. Lineage: Eukaryota; Metazoa; Chordata; Mammalia; Primates; Hominidae.
GCAGCCACCGGUCACCUCAGCUGUGAACCAUGUAGGAGCCGUCUGGGUGUAGCCCUACCUGCCAGGCGGCGCCCCGCGGGCUGCCGCCGCCGCUGCCUUGAAGAAGCAGUUCAACCUCAUCAGCAGGUGGCCGACCUGACUAUGGGCCGGUCGGCUCUGGACCGAACCACAGCCCAGCCCGAGGCCAGCGGGACGCCCGCUGCCGCUCAAUCGCCCCCUGGUCCUUGGCGACCAUCUGGGACGGGCCGCUGCCUCCUCUGUAGCAACCCCUCGGGUGCCCCCUGCCCAUUGUCCCUACCCCGGCGAGCAUUGCCCUGCGAGGACUACACCCGAUGCUUCUCCUCUCUUCCGGAGGACACAGCCAGCCUGGGACCGCUGCCCUGUGCUAAAACUCCGAUGACUUCUGUCCCUAACGCUGUGCCGAGCGCUGUGCUGUGGGGGGCAGCAUUGUCAGACUUUCCGGGUUGACCCGCUGUUGGGAGUCCUUUAAGUGCAUGGUAGCAAGAAAUAAAGGGAUAUAUGAAAGCCAGUCGGAUUUGCUUAGUGAAUUUCAGAACGCCUGCGAGGGAAUUCGGAGGUGGUGCAGUCUCAGAAACCAGUAUUCCUAGGAACUUGACUGCUGCUGCAAGUUCUUGACAUUUAGAAAUUUAGAACUGGGAGACACCUUGUGCCAGUUUAAAAAGUCUUCUUCCUCUUGGAUUUGGAGACAGCUACUUCUCCAUGUUCCUUUGGUACUGCUUGAAUGCUUGAAAAGAAACAUAGGCAAACAAAAAUAAUUUAUAUACGGAAGAUGUGUGCUUAUGGAGGGAUAGCUAAUGCACUGAACAAAACCUAGCUGUCAUUAGAUGGAGGGAGGUAACAAAAGCUACCCAGAGAUGAAAAAUCUGAGCAGAGACUUUGUCAUCCGUCUUUAAACACUGCUUUCAAAUACUACUUGUAUUGAUUAGGUCUCUUGGCCAUAAAGAAAACCUAAAACUUCUUCAAGCAAAGAUAGGAAUUAGUUGUCUCCUAAGUAAUCACAAGAGUCCAAGAGUAGUGUGGCUGCAGAUUUGGCUACAUCCAGGGGUUUCACUCUUUGGGCAGGUCCAAAGAGAGACAGUCCACUGGGAGAGUUCCCAGUCUUCCGAGUCCCAGAGAGAAAGAAAACUCUUCUCCCAGUCACUGUGACAGAGUACCAGGAUCGGCUCUGAAUUAUUCUGGGUCCUAUACCUUUCCCCAGAAAUGGACUUGAGUGAGCACCACUCAAGCCAUAUGGACUGAGGUGGAGGAGUGCUGGUUCCCUAAGAGAUCUAAUGACCUUCUCCAGGAGUCGAGGACCCACUACCUCGCUGAAUUCUCAGAGUCAAAAUGCGUCUCUACCUGCUGGUCCCAGAACAGUCCCCUGCUGCUGCAUUGAAUGAAUCUCAUCUCACUUCCUCGAGUCAGCCCUACCUAUAUUUGAUGAUCACAAACCUUAUCCUUACGUUGCCAGCAGUAACAUUCUGCAUCCCUCACCCACUCCACUGUGUCCUUUUCCUCCCACUGAUCUUCACUCUGCCUUUUCUAGGGGAACUCUGAACAGUAUUUCUGAGAAGGGAUGAGGAAACUGAGGCUCAAAGAAGAUAAUGUGCCCAAGGUCACCUCGCUAGGAAAGAGUGGAGCUGAGAUUUAAACUGUGACUUUAAGCCCAAGUUCAAGGCUUCUUACUAGUUUUAACUACAUUCCCAUACCCCUUUUAAUCAAUCAUGUAAAUAAAAUCUUAAUUCUUUUAAAAAAUUAAUAUGUGUUUCAGCUUGUCCUGUAGAGAAGACUAAUACUUACAAAUGGGAAAUAUUCGUCAAGCUUUAUUUUUUCUAGUUUGUCUUAUGAAAUUAAGUUUUUCAGCCUUUCCCAAUAUAAAGCUAUAUUUUAUAUUAAAUAUGCUUUUUAUUUAUUUUUUUGAGACGGAGUUUUGCGCUUUUUGCCCAGGCUGGAGUGCAAUGGCGCAAUCUCAGCUCACUGCAACCUCUGCCUCCCAGGUUCAAUCGAUUCUCCUGUCUCAGCCUCCCAAGUAGCUGGGAUUACAGGCGUGUGCCACCAAGCCCGGCUAAUUUUUGUACUUUUUAGUAGAGACAGGGUUUCACCAUAUUGUUCAGGCUGGUCUUGAACUCCUGACCUCGUGAUCCACCCACCCUUGGCCUCCCAAAGUGCUGGGAUUACAGGCAUGAGACACUGCGCCCAGCCAAGUCUUAGUUAUUUCUACAUGUAAGUAUUUCAUGAUCCGUUUGUGAUUUGGACAUCAAAUGCUGAGCAUAAUGCUUCGCUGACCUCACCUGAGACCUGCAUCCACUGAAUUUUUACUGUAUGUGCUUAGGGCCGAAUGUAAUUAAAGUCUUGUUUAUUUACUUCUUUUUUUUUUUUUUUUUUUGUAAAUAAGGUCUCCCGUUACGCAAGCUGGAGUGCAGUGGCAGGUUAAUAGCUCAUUGUAGCCUCAAAUGUAGCCUUCCCAGUAGCUAGUGAAGGCCUUUUUAGAGGGGCUCUUGCUUUGAACAGUAGCAAAUAUAUAUUUGCCAUUUUUGUAGUGAGUGUCUGCAUUUGUGCAGUAAAUGAGCUCAUGAGUAAACUGAGGAGUACAUGGACUCAUCUCCUCCUCUUUCUUUUCUUUUUUUUUUGGUUCAACAUAUUUCUGUUGAACAAAUGUACAUACACACUGAACAGCUAUAUCCUGUAGUUCAGUAUAUUUCUGUUGAAUGAAUGAGUCUCUACCACUUGUUUAUAAAUAUAAACAUUUAUGUAAUUUUAAUAGUGAAUAACAUACAUGUUUUGUAACUUGCUCUUUUCAUGUCAGCAUAUACAGAUCUGCAUCGUUAUUUAUAAUUGCUUUAUUGUACUCCUUUGUGGAAAUUCCCCUCUAUUUAAUCUAUUUAAUCUUAAUAGAGGGGAAAUUCCCCUCCAUUUAAUCUGUUCCCUACUGAUAAUCACUUAGAUUUUUGCCUUUUUAUUUUUUGUUUUGUUUUGUUUUCUUUUGAAACAGGGUCUCACUCUGUUGCCCAGGCUGGAGUACAGAGACUCGAUCACAGCUCACUGCAGCCUCAGACUCCUGGGCUUAAGUUGCCCAGGCUGGUCUUGAACUGAGCUCAAGCAGUCUGCCCACCUCAGCUUCCCAAAGUGCCGGGAUUACAGGUGUGAGCCACUGUGCCCAGCCUAUGUUUUUAUAUUAAACAGUGUUAUAGCAAAUACAAGUAUAUGUGCAUGUUUGCAGGAAUCGCUAGUGCAGAGUUUGCACAUUAUGAAUAGCCACUGCCAGGCUUUUCAAGUCCUUUUUUUACCAAUUUACAGUUUCACUGAAUUGGGUGAGGAAAUUUCCUGCCCUACACCCUCUGUCUCACUUUGUUUUGUGCUGCUGUAACAGAAUAUCUGAGACUGGGUAAUUUCUAAAGAACAAAGAUUUAUUCUUACAGUUCUCAACGCUGGGAAGUCCAAGGUCAAGGGGCCCACAUCUGGUGAGGGCCUUCUUGCUGCAUCAUCCCAUGGUGGAAGGUGGACGGGCAAGAGGGCAUGCUUGCCUGCAGGAGAGGAAGAGGGGGGAAGGGGCCUGUACUUAUUCUUUUAUCAGGAACCCCUCCUGCGAUAACUAACGCUUUCAUGAGGGCAGGGCCCCGUGACCCAUCCCCUCUUAAAAAUCCGCCCCCUCAACACUGCUGGAUGGGGAAUGAAGUUUCCAACACAUGAACUUUGGGGAACACAGUCAAACCAUAGCAUUCUGCCCCAGCCCCCCAAAUUCAUGUCCUCUCACAUGCAGAGUACAUUCAUUCCAUCCCAACAGGUUUAAUGUUUUCAUUUGUUCCAGCACCAAGUCAAGAGUCCAGAGUCUCAUUUGAAUCAGAUACAGGUGAGACUUUGGGCAAGAUUUCUCCUAAGGCAGAUUCCUCUCCGCCAUGGGCCUGGGAAAUUAAUGUGCUUCCAAAAUAUGAUGGUGGGUCAGGCAUAGGACAGCAAUUCCCAUUCCAAAGGGAUUCGUUUCCUGUUGUUGCUGUAACAAAUCACCACAAAGUUAAUGGCUUGAAGAAUACAAAUGGAUUAUCUCACAUUUCCGGAGAUCAGAAGUUCGAACCAGAUCUGCCUGCACUACAAUCAAGGUGGCAGCAGGGCUGAUGAAUGCCUUCCUGGACACGUGAGGGGAGCAUCUGCCUCCUCACCUUUUCCAGCUUCUUGGGUCUGCCCAUGUUCCUUGGCCUCUUCCUGCAUUUGUCAAAGCCAGCAGCAUUUAUGCUGUGCCUUUCUUCCAAAGUUGUGUCUUCACGGACUUCCUGGGCAACUAUGAAGGACCUCUGUGAUUACACUGGGCCUGUGGGGAUAAUCCACGCUAAUCUCCCUUUAUGCUGAUUAGCAACUUUCAUUCCAUCUCCAACCUUAAUUCCCCUUUGCUAUGUAAUCUAACACAUUCACAGGUUCUGGAGAUUCAGAAAUGGACAUUACUGGGGAGGGGAGAGCAUUUUUCUGCCUACUCUAGAUCCAAAUGUCAACCCAAGGCUGAACAGCCCUGAUUUCAAAGGACAUAUGCACACAUGACACAUAUCCACACGUACAUGCAUUAUACACACAUACCUGUACACAUUUAGACAGAUAUGUGGAGCAUCUUUACAGGUCAGAACACAAAUAUACACCUCUACCUCCUUUUUAUGGCUGCAGAGUAAGCCAUUCUGUGGAUAUACCAUGUUCUACUUAACUGCACGAAAGCAAGGCAGCACCACCAAACCCUCCAGCCUCAUAUUCAAUCUAACUGAACUGUGGACUGAAGACAGCUCAAGACCGUCAAACCUCCACAUCACAAACGGUUCCUCCAAGGCUGUAGGGAUCUACUUGAGCCUUCAUAAUAGCCAACAGUAGCAGCCAUAUUUGCUAGGUGCUUUCUAUGCCCCAGACACUCACUGGGUUGACACCUACAUCUAUUCUAAUUCUCAAACCAGGCAAAUCGGAUAGGAUCCACUAUUACUCCCAUUUUACAUAUAAGGAAAGUGAAACUCCAAGAGGUAACUUGCCCAGGACCCCAGCACUAAUAAGUGGGAUUGUGGGAUUCAAACCCAGAGGGCUUGACUAGCCACCCCUAGACUUAGUUUAUUUAAACCAGGGAGCAGACUACACCUGAAGGCUCAAUCCAGCUCACUGCCCAUUUUUUAUGGCCAGAAAGCUCAGAAGAGUGGUUAUUUUUAAAUGACUAGAAAAAACCCCAAAAGAAUAAUAAUAUUCGGUAACACGUGAAAAUUAUAUGAAAUUCAAAUUUCAGUGUACAUGAAAGUUUUAUUGGAACACAGCCAGGCUCCUGUGUUUAUGUGCUAUCUAUGGCGGCUUUCAGGCUACAACAGCAGAGUUGAGUUGUUGUGAUAGAUACCGCCGUGUGAUCUGCAGAGCUCAAAACUGACUCUCUAGCCAUUUAUCCUUUCUCCAG